Molecule: ribosomal RNA, 922 nt
Filed under: uncultured bacterium
Lineage: Bacteria
Description: bacterial SSU rRNA
Rfam family: Bacterial small subunit ribosomal RNA
Source: RNAcentral
GAGUUUGAUCAUGGCUCAGGAUGAACGCUAGCGACAGGCUUAACACAUGCAAGUCGAGGGGCAGCGGUGGUGAAGGCUUGCCUUUACCAGCCGGCGACCGGCGCACGGGUGAGUAACACGUAUGCAACCUGCCUGCCACAGCCGGAUAAUCGGGAGAAAUUCCGUCUAAUACGGCAUAAUGCAUCGACGGGACAUCCUGUUGGUGCCAAAGGUUGAUUCCGGUGGCGGAUGGGCAUGCGUCGCAUUAGUUAGUUGGCGGUGUAACGGACCACCAAGACGACGAUGCGUAGGGGUUCUGAGAGGAAGGUCCCCCACACUGGUACUGAGACACGGACCAGACUCCUACGGGAGGCAGCAGUGAGGAAUAUUGGUCAAUGGGCGGGAGCCUGAACCAGCCAAGUCGCGUGAGGGAUGACGGCCCUAUGGGUUGUAAACCUCUUUUGCCGGGGAGCAAAGUGCCGCACGUGUGCGGUUUGGAGAGUACCCGGAGAAAAAGCAUCGGCUAACUCCGUGCCAGCAGCCGCGGUAAUACGGAGGAUGCGAGCGUUAUCCGGAUUUAUUGGGUUUAAAGGGUGCGUAGGCGGACGCUUAAGUCAGCGGUAAAAUUGCGGGGCUCAACCUCGUCGAGCCGUUGAAACUGGGUGCCUUGAGUGGGCGAGAAGUACGCGGAAUGCGUGGUGUAGCGGUGAAAUGCAUAGAUAUCACGCAGAACUCCGAUUGCGAAGGCAGCGUACCGGCGCCCAACUGACGCUGAAGCACGAAGGCGUGGGUAUCGAACAGGAUUAGAUACCCUGGUAGUCCACGCAGUAAACGAUGAAUGCUAGUUGUCCGGGGCGAUUGAGUUCUGGGUGACACAGCGAAAGCGUUAAGCAUUCCACCUGGGGAGUACGCCGGCAACGGUGAAACUCAAAGGAAUUGACGG